This 492-nucleotide ribosomal RNA is filed under the name uncultured bacterium. Its description in RNAcentral is "partial 16S ribosomal RNA". It matches the Rfam family "Bacterial small subunit ribosomal RNA", at positions 29 to 507 of the family's 1533-position model. The record is from RNAcentral.
AGUGAACGCUGGCGGUAGGCCUAACACAUGCAAGUCGAACGGCAGCACAGUAAGAGCUUGCUCUUACGGGUGGCGAGUGGCGGACGGGUGAGGAAUACAUCGGAAUCUACUUUUUCGUGGGGGAUAACGUAGGGAAACUUACGCUAAUACCGCAUACGCCCUACGGGUGAAAGCAGGGGAUCUUCGGACCUUGCGCGAUUGAAUGAGCCGAUGUAGGAUUAGCUAGUUGGCGGGGUAAAGGCCCACCAAGGCGACGAACCGUAGCUGGUCUGAGAGGAUGAUCAGCCACACUGGAACUGAGACACGGUCCAGACUCCUACGGGAGGCAGCAGUGGGGAAUAUUGGACAAAGGGCGCAAGCCUGAUCCAGCCAUACCGCGUGGGUGAAGAAGGCCUUCGGGUUGUAAAGCCCUUUUGUUGGGAAAGAAAAGCAGCAGGUUAAUACCCCGCUGUUCUGACGGUACCCAAAGAAUAAGCACCGGCUAACUUCGUG